This 440-nucleotide ribosomal RNA is filed under the name uncultured bacterium. RNAcentral's name for it is "partial 16S ribosomal RNA". It matches the Rfam family "Bacterial small subunit ribosomal RNA", at positions 338 to 795 of the family's 1533-position model. The record is from RNAcentral.
CCUACGGGUGGCAGCAGUGGGGGAUAUUGCACAAUGGGGGGAACCCUGAUGCAGCGACGCCGCGUGGGUGAAGAAGCGCCUCGGCGCGUAAAGCCCUGUCAGCAGGGAAGAAAAUGACGGUACCUGAAGAAGAAGCCCCGGCUAACUACGUGCCAGCAGCCGCGGUAAUACGGAGGGGGCAAGCGUUAUCCGGAUUUACGGGGUGUAAAGGGGGCGCAGACGGCGAUGCAAGCCAGGAGUGAAAGCCCGGGGGCCAACCCCGGGACUGCUCUUGGAACUGCGUGGCUGGAGUGCAGGAGGGGCAGGCGGAAUUCCUGGUGUAGCGGGGAAAUGCGUAGAUAUCAGGAGGAACACCGGUGGCGAAGGCGGCCUGCUGGACUGCAACUGACGUUGAGGCCCGAAAGCGUGGGGAGCAAACAGGAUUAGAUACCCCGGUAGUC